AUAAUGCUCUCUGGCUUCGGUCAGUUGAGUUCAAAUGAGUGCCUUCUCUUCGGAGUUGGCCAUCCAUACACACCGUGAACUGUGGCUUCGGCCAUCACAAACUGUUAGUAAUGAAUGUAAUAUCAUAACAAAAACAA
This 137-nucleotide unclassified non-coding RNA is filed under the name Vishniacozyma carnescens. Lineage: Eukaryota; Fungi; Basidiomycota; Tremellomycetes; Tremellales; Bulleribasidiaceae. The record is from RNAcentral.